RNAcentral lists this ribosomal RNA (165 nucleotides) under Aphyllon corymbosum. Its description in RNAcentral is "5.8S ribosomal RNA". It matches the Rfam family "5.8S ribosomal RNA". Rfam says of the family: 5.8S ribosomal RNA (5.8S rRNA) is a component of the large subunit of the eukaryotic ribosome. It is transcribed by RNA polymerase I as part of the 45S precursor that also contains 18S and 28S rRNA. The record is from RNAcentral. Lineage: Eukaryota; Viridiplantae; Streptophyta; Magnoliopsida; Lamiales; Orobanchaceae. RNAcentral also lists the same sequence under 1 other name.
AAACGACUCUCGGCAACGGAUAUCUCGGCUCUCGCAUCGAUGAAGAACGUAGCGAAAUGCGAUACUUGGUGUGAAUUGCAGAAUCCCGUGAACCAUCGAGUCUUUGAACGCAAGUUGCGCCCAAAGCCAUUCGGCCAAGGGCACGUCUGCCUGGGCGUCACGCAU